RNAcentral lists this ribosomal RNA (468 nucleotides) under uncultured bacterium. RNAcentral describes it as "partial 16S ribosomal RNA". It matches the Rfam family "Bacterial small subunit ribosomal RNA", at positions 28 to 507 of the family's 1533-position model. The record is from RNAcentral.
GACGAACGCUGGCGGCGUGCUUAACACAUGCAAGUCGAACGGAAAGGCCCUGCUUUUGUGGGGUGCUCGAGUGGCGAACGGGUGAGUAACACGUGAGUAACCUGCCCUUGACUUUGGGAUAACUUCAGGAAACUGGGGCUAAUAGCGGAUAGGAGCUCCUGCUGCAUGGUGGGGGUUGGAAAGUUUCGGCGGUUGGGGAUGGACUCGCGGCUCAUCAGCUUGUUGGUGGGGUAGUGGCUUACCAAGGCUUUGACGGGUAGCCGGCCUGAGAGGGUGACCGGCCACAUUGGGCCUGAGGUACGGCCCAGCCUCCAACGGGAGGCAGGAGUGGGGAGCAUUGCACAAUGGGAGGAAGCCUGAUGCAGCGACGCCGCGUGCGGGAUAACGGCCUUCGGGUUGUAAACCGCUUUCGCCUGUGACGAAGCGUGAGUGACGGUAAUGGGUAAAGAAGCACCGGCUAACUACGUG